RNAcentral lists this transfer RNA (44 nucleotides) under Ciona intestinalis (vase tunicate). It matches the Rfam family "tRNA", at positions 1 to 43 of the family's 71-position model. From Rfam's summary of the family: Transfer RNA (tRNA) molecules are approximately 80 nucleotides in length. Their secondary structure includes four short double-helical elements and three loops (D, anti-codon, and T loops). Lineage: Eukaryota; Metazoa; Chordata; Ascidiacea; Phlebobranchia; Cionidae. The record is from Rfam by way of RNAcentral.
GUCGUCGUGGCCGAGUGGUUAAGGCGACAGACUCGAAAUCUGUU